GCUUUUCCCAGGCAGCAGGGUCGGUUUCGGGCCUCGCCAAGCAUUUUAGGAAACUACUUGGCCAUAAUGUAAGAUUCAAAAACACAAAAGAGAACAGGGCGUACGAGGAAACAGGAAGGCACUAUCUCCGCACAAUCCAGGAACCAGCCCUAGUGACACUUCAGCUUGCAUUUCCGGUCUCCAGGACCGACCCCCAUGAGGGCAGGGAUCUUUAUGUUCUCUUUUCACAGUUCUGGAUUUAGAAGCUUAGAAGAGGGCCUGACACUGUUAUGAAGACGUGUUCCCUCUGGACUGGAAGAGCCCUGCCAUUUGGCUCCAUAUGGAGAAAAUCACUAAGGAUGAGAAGACACAGUGUGGAGAGGUCUCAGCAGCUGUCUGCUCCUCAGAGCAAACAAGAAAAAUUAGACAAAAACCAUUGCAUGAAAGAUUUGGAGAAAUUUGAAAGAUGAAACACUGAGAAAUCUUAAGGAUUGCAAUAAACUAUUAAAAAAGCAAACCUCUCUGGAGAAGUCGGAAAGUAGGACCAGUUUUAAACUUGCUGAUAUUUACCAUCCCUGCAUCCAUGCAGAAGGAAGGGCUGGCCGACUGCUCAUGAUUUCUCAAGCCCAGAUGGCUCUGGCUAAACUGCCUUGCUGUUGGGGGCUCUCCGCUGAUGGAUGAUGGAUCUGAC
This 670-nucleotide long non-coding RNA is filed under the name Heterocephalus glaber (naked mole-rat). RNAcentral's name for it is "lncRNA (ENSHGLG00000043723.1)". The record is from RNAcentral. Lineage: Eukaryota; Metazoa; Chordata; Mammalia; Rodentia; Bathyergidae.